RNAcentral lists this ribosomal RNA (490 nucleotides) under uncultured bacterium. Its description in RNAcentral is "partial 16S ribosomal RNA". It matches the Rfam family "Bacterial small subunit ribosomal RNA", at positions 29 to 505 of the family's 1533-position model. The record is from RNAcentral.
AGUGAACGCUGGCGGUAGGCCUAACACAUGCAAGUCGAACGGCAGCACAGUAAGAGCUUGCUCUUACGGGUGGCGAGUGGCGGACGGGUGAGGAAUACAUCGGAAUCUACUUUUUCGUGGGGGAUAACGUAGGGAAACUUACGCUAAUACCGCAUACGACCUACGGGUGAAAGCAGGGGAUCUUCGGACCUUGCGCGAUUGAAUGAGCCGAUGUCGGAUUAGCUAGUUGGCGGGGUAAAGGCCCACCAAGGCGACGAUCCGUAGCUGGUCUGAGAGGAUGAUCAGCCACACUGGAACUGAGACACGGUCCAGGCUCCUACGGGAGGCAGCAGUGGGGAAUAUUGGACAAUGGGCGCAAGCCUGAUCCAGCCAUACCGCGUGGGUGAAGAAGGCCUUCGGGUUGUAAAGCCCUUUUGUUGGGAAAGAAAAGCAGCAGGUUAAUACCCCGCUGUUCUGACGGUACCCAAAGAAUAAGCACCGGCUAACUUCG